This is a long non-coding RNA of Equus caballus (horse), 9387 nucleotides long. The record is from Ensembl. Lineage: Eukaryota; Metazoa; Chordata; Mammalia; Perissodactyla; Equidae.
AAGCGCGUUUGGAAGACAUGAGAGGAUGCAGUUCCUGGGCUCCUGACAUCCCACCAAGGGCGUCCAGCUGGGGGGUCCCCGCUCCUUCCGCUGUCUCUGCCUUCUAGCGACCACAGUGCCUUCAGUCUGAAGCUCCACCGCAGGGACCGCUCACGUCACUCCCUCAGCCUGACCAGACAGCCUGCUUCAGGCCCCCACUGCUGUUACUGUCUCAGAUCUACAUUUGUAUUUGUAUUUGUAUUUGUAUUUGUAUUUGUAUUUGUAUUUGUAUGAGGCCUUAUCUUCCCAACUGGAAUGUAAACCCUUUGCAAACUCUGUGCUCCCCCUCCCUCCUCCCCGCACUGCCCAGCACAGACGGAACCAGUAAAGAGGCUGAAUUACAGCAUGAUGUAACAAACAGAGGGGAGGAGCGAGGAUGGGGCGGAGGAGGCUCUGCCUCUGGGGCAUGCCCACGCCGCGUGCUCCUGGUUCCCUCCUUGCCCUCCACGCAGUGCGUGGGGCUGCAGUGGGUCCUGGAGGAGGAGGGAGGUGGCUCUGGAGGCCGCGUGCUCCCGGCGCCCCUCACGGAGCAGAGCGAGGCAGAGCACGCUUCCUUCUGCGUGUUCCGCACAGUCUUGAGGACCACUAGGGGACGUUGACGCCGUGACUCGAGCAGUGAUCCUCCUGGUAGAGACAGAAAAAGGUGUCUAUCUAACUGUUUGCCUGCUAAUCGGACCCGUGAGCCAGGUGUCACUCAGACUUCGUCACCUCAGCACUCUGCCUCAUCACGGCUGACUCUGCACCGUGGGAUCCACGGUUGGAAGGACCACUGGGCGUCAUCUGCAGGACACAGAGCGGGGACGGCUGCAGGCAGCGCGAGUGUGGACGAGGGUAGAAUGCUAAGAAAAAUGGCAAGAAAUUGCACAUUGGAGGCAACGAUAAUGCCUUAUAAAGAAGACUUUUUUUAAAUGCUUUUUUUAAGGGGAGCACUAACGCGGCUUUGGAUACCACCCCCACCCUUGCCGUAAGUACGUGAACUGUGGCCAAAGGAAUAAAUGGAAUGAGAGCUGAGUGCAGAGUGAGAAGGCCGGAGACACAUGACAACUCAGAGGGAAGGUCCCAUGGUGUCAUUUCUGCACAUCUUCCACAGGCCAGUGAGAGCCAGACAGUGACAAAUGUCAACGUGCGGCCAAGAGUUAUGAAAACACGUCUGCUGCACACAGCAGGUGUGAGUCUGUGUGACAGGAGUUUACUUUCCAUUCACCUAGGCAUCAAUCCUGGCCGUGGUACCAGGCGGCCGCAUCCAAGCCCUGGUGCUACUGCCCUUGGAUGGGAGCCUUUCUCCAACCUGUCUCAAAUGCUGGUCAAGGACCCCAGGGUGGUACCAGUACAUGUAGACACACACACCACAAGGGAGGCACGCACACCAACAGAAGACACACACACACAGGAGGCACACACACAAAUAGGGAGCCAAUCAGAGGUGGCCAAGACCUUUAUUGGUGAAAAUAAAUCGGUGUCUCUCUCUAGUCUUCAACUAAUUUAAACAAAAUGAUUGUUAGAAACUAGGAGAAUUUUGUGUGUGUGUGUGUGCGAAAGAUUGUGCCUGAGCCAACAUCUGUGCCAGUCUUCCUCUAUUUUGUUUGUGGGAUGCUGCCAAAACAUGGCUUGAUGUGCAUGUGUAGGUUGGCGCCCAGGAUCCGAACUUUUGAACCCCGGCCAUGAAGUGGAGCAAGCGAACUUAACCACUACACCACCGGGCCAGCCCCCAAGAGAAUUUUUAUGAACCAUCUUUCUUUUCAACUUCAUGUCUGACUCUACAAUUCCUUUUCAAUUUACUCUGAGGCAGGCACGUUCAGCACGAGCUCAUCUAAUAGUUACAUACAUAGAGAUCACCAUUGCUAACCACCCCUCUUGAAAUUUCCACACAGGCACACGCACAUGCACACGUGCACGCACGUGUUUCCUAACAGAUCAUACCGUGCAACAGGAUGAUAACUGCAUGCGUGAAGAUGAAACAGAUUGAUAACGCGAAGAGUUUAGACGUGUGCCCAGGGCAUGGUACCUGGCUUGAGCAGUGUCCUCUCCUGCCACAAGGAGCUUCUAGCAUGAGAUCGGAGAUGGCCUCUCAGAGAGAAGAGCGUGUGCAAAGGUGCAGAGACGAAGAAAGGGCAGCUUGUCUUCAGACGAUGUAGUCAGUGCAGUCAGUGCAGAAGAUGCAGCAGAAUAUGGGUGUGGGGGGCAGGACAGGACACGGCGUGCACGUGGGGAAGCCGCAUAGUGUUUGCUAAGCUGGACACUGGUGGGAGACAUCUUCCCGAGGGAGAGAUGACCACCGCAUCCGAUACUACCACUGACCUGGACUGAAUGUUUGCGAUCCCAUUAAUGCAAAGAAUCAGUGGGAAUGAAUCAAUCUGUGGUGUCGAUCUGCUGUCCUCACAGAAAGUUCACCAGCGGUGCUCCCUCACUCACGUUUUAUGAAGAGACCUGCUCCCCCUCGGAGGUCCCGACCACAACCAGGAGGCAGGCCAGAGCCACUGACCGAAGGAAAUCUCUUAGGUAAAAAGAGAAAAAGGAUAAACGAUGAACAAUUUUGCAGUUAAGAAUGUCAGAAACAUGGGGCUGGCCCCGUGGCCUAGUGGUUAAGUUCAUGCGCUCUGCUUUGGCGGCCCAGGGUUUCGCCAGUUCAGAUCCUGAGUGCGGACGGACAUGGCACCGCUCAUCAGGCCAUGUUGAGGCAGCGUCCCACAUGCCACAACUAGAAGGACCUACAACUGAAAAUAUACAACUAUGUACUGGGGGUGUUGGGGGAGAAAAAGCAAUUUAAAAAACAAAGAGAGAGAGAUUGGCAAGUUAUUAGCUCAGGUGCCAAUCUUUAAAAAAAAAAACAAAAAAACUUGAAUUGGUGGUUUAAAAAAAAGAAUGUCAGAAAAAAUGUUGAGCUAUUUUUUGUCAUUGGGAAAUGAGUUAACAAGCCAGUCCCUAAAAAUUCAGAUUUUUAUGGAAGAUUUUUGUGGGGCAAAAACUAUUGGGGGAUGGAGAGAAACAGGAAGUGACUGGUUAAGACAUAGUUCCUUUUUGGGAGUGAUGGAAAUGUUCUAAAAUUGAGUGUGCGAUAGUUGCAAAAUUCUGUGAAUAAACUAAACACCAUUGGACUGUGCACUUUAAAUGGGUGAACUGCAUGGUAUGUGAAUUAUAUCUCAAUAAAGACGUUACCAAAAAAAGGAAGAAGAAUGUCAGGUAUUUCACGUGGCAACUCUACCUGAGACUGGACUGUGUGUGUAAGAGGUUAAGUCGGGCGGCGACCUCCCAGUCUCAUUGGCUGUAAGUGUCCCACUUAAGAUAAACAAUUCCUCUCCAUUCAACUAAGAAAUUCUAGCAAAGGCAUUCAUGAAUAGGACCAUCGUGGGCAGUCCAAGAAGGGGGCACAUGAGCCAGGAAGCGCCGGUUAGGGUCCUCCCCAAGAUUUUUCAAAUGGAAGGCCAAGGAGAAGACGGUUUCUUUCUGGAGUGACAAGCUGGAAGCACAGGGCUCUGGAGGUGCCUCCAGCCACGUUACCCAGAGCAGGAAGAAACUCCACUUGCAUUUCCAGUCUUGCUGAGGCUGUGCUCCACCCCGCCUGUCCGCACUCCACAAAUCAGUACACAGUGUCUCCACUUUGUUUUAAACUUACGUUAGUUUGAAUUGAGUAUGUGGCACUUGCAACAAAAAGUCCUAACAAAUGAAGUAUUAUGAUGUUAUAAAACUUAUUUCUGAGCCCAUAUAGCACUAGAAUUCAUAGUGUCUCAUUGUCUUAAUUUCUGACUUCAAAACUUUCAAUAUAUAAAAUUUUCAUUUAACUUGGAAACAACUUUAUGCAUUUAUUAUUGUGAUAAUGUUUUAUAAUAUUAUUUUAAUUGAGAGCUGUAAAUAGGUAUUCAAAAAACACAAUUAAAACACUAAGACAUAAUAAAUAGGAUUGAUAGUAAGAUGGAAGCAGCUGAAGAAAGAAUUAAUGAGUUGAAAUAUCAGAUUGAGGAGUUUUCCCAGAAGACAAUAGGAAAGGAUAGAGAGAUAGAAAAUAUCAAAGAAAGGCUACGGGAAAUGACAAUAGAAAUGCCAGUACAUAUCUGGAUAAUAGGAAUCUCAGGAGGAAUGAUCAACAAAGCCAGAGAGGAGCAAAUAUUUGAGAAAAUAAUGGAGGUGUAUUUCCAGAAAGAAAGAAAAGGCUCACAGAAUCAAACAAAAGGGGGAGGCAAUAAGGAAAAAUCCACGUCUAGACAUGUAGUGAAAUUUAAGACUACCAAAUACAAAGAGAAUGUUCUAAAAGCUUCCGUAAGUAAAGAGCAGGCCACCUACAAGUGAACAGGGAAUUUCUCAACAGCAACACUGAAUGCAAGAGAACAAUGGAGCAAUAUUUUUAAAUAAUUGAAGGAAAACAGAUUUGAACCUAGAAUAUUAUUUCUAGAAAAGCUGGCAUUUGUUUACUCUUUUUUAUUGCUGUAAUAUUGGUUUAUAACAUAUAAAUUUCAGGUGUACAUUGUAAUAUAUUUCAAAUUCUGUGUAGAUUACAUCAUAUUCACCACCCAAAGACUAAUUACAAUCCAUCACCACACGCAAGUGCCUAAUCAUGCCUUUCUCCCUCCUCCUUCCCUCCCCCCUUCCCCUCUGGUAACCACCAAUCCAAUCUCUGUUGCUAUGUGUUUGUAUAUUGCUGUUUUUGUCUUCUACUUAUGAGUAAGAUCAUACGGUAUUUGACUUUCUCCCUCUGACUUAUUUCACUUAGCAUAAAACCCUCAAGGUCCAUCCAUGUUGUCGCAAAUGGCCAGAUUUCAUCAUGUCUUAUAGCUGAGUAGUAUUCCAUUGUGUGUAUAUUCCACACCUUCUUUAUCCAUUCAUCCCUUGAUGCACACCUAGGUUGCUUCCAAGUCUUGGCUAUUGUGUAUAAUGCUGCAAUGAACAUAGGGGAGCAUGUAUCUUUACACAUUCAUGUUUUCAAGUUCUUUGGAUAAAUACCCAGCAGUGGAAUAGCUGGAGCAUGUGGUAAACAAAUUCUUAAUUUUCUGAGGAAACUCCAUACUGUCUUCCAUAGUGGCUGCAUCAGUUUGCACUGCCACCAGCAGUGUUGAGGGUUUCCUUCUCUCCACAUCCUCUCCAACACUUAUUGCUUCCUGUCUCAUAAAUUAUAGUCAUUCUGACUGGAGUGAGGUGAUAUCUCAUUGUAGUUUUGAUUUGCAUUUCCCUGAUAGUUAAUGGUGUUGAACAUCUUUUCAUGUGCCUCUUAGCCCUCUGUGUAUCUUCUUUGGAGAAAUGUCUGUUCAGAUCUAUUGCCCAUGUUUUAAUUGGGUUGUUGGUUUUUUUGUUGUUCAGAUGUAUGAGUUCUUUGUAUAUUUUGGAUAUUAACCCCUUACCUGAUAUAUGGUUUGCAAAUAUUUUUUCCCAAUUGUUAGGUUUUCUUUUCAUUUUGCUAGUGGUUUCCUUUGCUGUGCAGAAGCUUUUUAGUUUGAUGUAGUCCCAUUUGUUUAUUUUUCCUAUUGUUUCCCCUGCCCAGUCAGACAUGGUAUUUGAAAAAAUGCUGCUAAGACUGAUGUCAAAGAGCGUACUGACUACGUUUUCUUCUAGAAGUUUAAUGGUUUCAGAUCUUACAUACAACUCUUUAAUCCAUUUUGAGUUGAUUUUUGUGUAUGGUUUAAGAUAAUGGUCUACUCUCAUUCUUUUGCAUGUUGCUGUCCAGUUUUCCCAACUCCAUUUAUUGAAGACUCUCCUUUCUCCAUUUUAUGUUCUUGGCUCCUUUGUAGAAAAUUAGUUGUCUCCAGAUACAUGGAUUUAUUUCUGGGCUUUCAAUUCUGUUCCAUUGAUCUGUGUGUGUGUGUUUGUGCCAGUACCAUGCUGUUUUGAUUACCAUAGUUUUGUAGUAUAUUUUGAAAUCAGGGAGUGUGAUACCCCCAGCUUUGUUCUUUUUUCUCAGGACUCCUCUGGCUUUUUGGGGUCUUUUGUUGUUCCACAUAAAUUUUAGGAUACUUUGUUCUAUUUCUGUGAAAAAUAUUGUUGGAACUAUGAUAGGGAUUGCAUAGAAGCUAUAGAUUGCUUUAGGAAUAUGGCCAUUUUACUGCGUUAAUUCUCCUAAUCCAAGAGCACAGACUAUCUUUCCAUUUCUUUGAGUCUUCUUCAAUUUCUUUUCUUUUUUUUUAAAGAUUGACACCCGAGCUAACAACUGCUGCCAAUCUCCUUUUUUUUUCUUUCUGCUUUUUCUCCCCAAAUCCCCCCAGUACAUAGUUGUAUAUUUUAGUUAUGGGUCCUUCUAGUUGUGUUCAAUUUCUUUCAACAAUGUUUUACAGUUUUCAGUGCACAGAUCUUUCACUUCUUUGGUUAAGUUUACUCCUAUACACUAACAACGAAGUAGCAGAAAGAGAAAUUAAGAAUACAAUCUCAUUGACAACUGCAACAAAAAGAAUAAAAUACCUAGGAAAAGCUGCCAUUCAAAUUUGAAGACAUAAUAAAAGCAAUCCCCCACAGAGGGGAUUUGCCAUAUAGAUGUAUUGCCUUACAAAGACUGACUUUUUGUGAGAAAACACUUUUGGAGAAAGUACUUAAAAGAAACAGAUCACUAGAGAUUCCUGUAAAAGACAGAAAAUUAAGGGAACCAAAUAUUUUGGUAACAUUAUUAUUUGAGAGAACUCACAAUGUAAAUUCUGGGCAGUGUCAACAUCAAAGGCAUGAAAGAAGGAUAUUAAAGAGAUACAGAAGUGUCGUAACAGACUUGUCUUGUUAGGAGAAAAGUAUAGAUACUGGUAAGUUUAAGAAGUCAGUAGGGAUAAAUACAUACGAGAGUUUGUCUUCAGGUAAAGGCAUCAACUGCACAGAUGAAGAUGUGCGACUUUUAACCCAGCAGAAGAAUAUGGGGCCCAUACGACAGAAAGUAGGAACAAAAAUUAAAAGGAAGAAAUAAGAAGUUCAGCAAAUUAAAAAUAUAAUAAGACAUCAGAAGUAAGUUUUUUAAUAUGAGUAAUUAUGAUAAAUGCGAAUAGGUUAAAUUCACCAACUAAAAGACAGAUAUGCUGAACCUCAGCUUAAAAACAAGAAUGUAGGGCAUCCCACAUGCCACAACUAGAAGGAUCCACAACUCGAAGAUACAACUAUGUACUGGGGGGCUUUGGGGAGAAGAAAAAGAAAGAGGAACAUUGGCAAAAGAUGUCAGCUCAGGUGCCAAUCUUUAAAAAAAAAAAAAAAAAACAAGAAUAUAAAAGAAACACAUUGAGAAAAAAAAGUCAAAGAAACGUUGAAAAUAAAAGGAUUAAAAAUUUAUACUAAGAAAAUAUGACCCUAAAGAAAGUUGAUAUAGUAAUCUAAAUUUCAGAAAUUCAAAAUAGAAUAUAAGACCAAAAAUGCCAUAAAGGACAAAGCAUGACAUAACCUGCUGGUCAAAGUCCCGAGAGACCCAGAAGCUCUCUCCUUUGUAAACGUCAGUGCAGCCUCAAGCCUCACCGAGCCCCAGCGACAGCCCUGCAGCCACCAGUGGGAGACGUCAGGACAACUUUUUCAAAAGUGAACGGAGAAGAAGCUAAAAUCUAAGCAUAGCUGUCAAAGAUCCAAACAAUAUCCUUAAUAAGCCUGAGCUAUUAGAUGUAAAAAGAACUCUAGACCAAACCAAGGGAAAGUCCACAAUACAUUUGCAAAAUAGGCCAUGCAUUAGGCCAAAAAUGGAUCGACAUCAUUCAGAUUAUGUUCUCCAACAAUACAGCGAUAAAAAUAGAAAUUACUGACACAAUGAUGGUUUUUAAAAAGUCUGUAUGCUUGGAACCCAAAAAACAUACUACUAAAUAAUGCUUUAAUUAAAAAGAAAAUGAAGUAAUGUUUAAACCUGUGUGAUAAUGAAGUCACUACACAACAAAAAAAUGUGGGACAUAAUAAAGACAGGAUUUAGGAGGGAAAUGUAUAGAAUUUCUAGUCAUGAAUACAUUUAUGAGGAAAGACAAUUACACUUAAAAGCCAGUUGGUCAACUGAAAAAGUUGAAAAAGAACAGCAAAAAUAAAGAAAAUAAUGAAAAUAAAGACAUGACUCAAGUUAAUAGAGAACAAAAAUGGUGGAGGAGAUUAACCCCAAAAACAGAAGCUACUUGUUGGAAUAAAUUAACAAGAGAGACUUCUGGCAAGAUUGAAUUGGAAGGGAGGGCACAAAUGAGAUUCAGGCGGAGCAAGGAGACUAUUUAAGGCACAACUUCUUAAAAAGACUGCUCUGAACUAUUUCUGCUAAUAAAUUUGAAAAGUUAUAUAAAAUGGAUGACUAUUAAAGAAAAACGCCAAAUUUCAAAAUUUACACAGGGAGAGAGAUGGAAAAUGAAGAGACCAAUAGUUAUUAUUAAACACACUGAAAUGAUCACUAAAGAUUUCCUUUCCAAAACGUCCCGGGCACAGAUGGCUUUACCAGGGAGUGCCUUCAAAUGUUUUUUUACACAGCUUUUACGAGAUAUAAGUUACAUAUAAAGUUCAUCCAUUUAAAGUGUACCAUUCAAUGGCUUUAGUAUAUUUACAGAGUUAUGCAACAAUUAACCUAAUCUAAUUUUAGAACCUUUUCACCACCCCCGAGGGAACCAUUAGCAGUUACUUCUCCUUUCCCUUCCCAAAAUGAUCAUCCCUCCUCCAGCCCAAGGCAACCGAUAAUCUACCUUUUGUCGCUAUAGAUUUGCCCAUUCUGGACAUUUCAUAUAAAUGGUAUUGUACGAUGUAUGAUCUUUUGUGACUGGUUUCUUUCACUUGGCAUAAUGUUUUUCAGGGUUUCUCUACAUUGUAGUGUGUAUCAGAAAUUAAUUCCUUUUUAUUGCUGAUUAAUGUUUCAUCGUAUCAAUAUACCGCAUUUUGUUUAUCCAUUCAUUAGUUGAUGGAAAUUUAGGUUGUUCUGAUUUCUGUAGCUUUGCAGUAAGCUUUAUAACCAGGAAAUUUGAGUCUUCCAACUUUGUUCUUUUUUAAGAUUGUUUUGGCUUUUCUGAGUCCAUUCCAUUUCCAUAUGAAUUUUAAGGUCAGCUUGCCAAUUUUUACAAAAAGUCAGAUAAAAUUUGAUAGUGAUUGCAUUAGAUCUGUAGAUAAAUUUCAGGAGUAUUUUUAUUCUAACGUCGAGUCUUCCCAUCCAUGGACAUAAGUUGUCUUUCCAUUUAUUUAGGUCUUCAAUUUUUUUCAGCAAUGGUUUGUAGUUUUUAGUGUGCAAGUCUUGCACUUCUGUCAUUAAAUUAAUCCCUAAGUGUUUAAUUCUUGCUGAUGUUACUGUAAGUGAAAUUAUUUUUAAUUUCAUUUCAGAUUGCUUAUUGUUUACAUAUAAAAAUAUAAUUGAGUUUUUAUAUUGAUCUUGUAUCCUGCAACCUUGCUGAACUCUUUUAUUAGUUCUAAUAGCUUUUAAAUGGUGUGCCAAAUUUUAAAGAAACAGUUGUCUUUUUC